CCUCUUGUUCGGGAUAACUGCUGGAAACGGCAGCUAAUACCGGAUAAGCUCCCCCAAUUGUAUGGGGAGGAAAGGAGGCCUCUUCAUGAAAGCUUCCGCGAGGGGAUGAGUCCGCGUCCCAUUAGCUAGUUGGUGAGGUAACGGCCCACCAAGGCAACGAUGGGUAGCCGGUCUAAGAGGAUGACCGGCCACACUGGAACUGAAACACGGUCCAGACUCCUACGGGAGGCAGCAGUGGGGAAUAUUGCGCAAUGGACGAAAGUCUGACGCAGCGACGCCGCGUGAGGGAUGAAGGUUUUCGGAUCGUAAACCUCUGUCAGGAGGGAAGAAAGCGCAUGGCGCCAAUCAGCCAUGCGUUGACGGUACCUCCAAAGGAAGCGCCGGCUAACUCCGUGCCAGCAGCCGCGGUAAUACGGAGGGCGCGAGCGUUAAUCGGAAUUACUGGGCGUAAAGCGCGCGUAGGCUGUUGUGUAAGUUGGGGGUGAAAUCCCACGGCUCAACCGUGGAACAGCCCUUGAUACUGCGCGACUUGAAUCCGGGAGAGGGUGGCGGAAUUCCAGGUGUAGGAGUGAAAUCCGUAGAUAUCUGGAGGAACAUCAGUGGCGAAGGCGGCCACCUGGACCGGUAUUGACGCUGAGGCGCGAAAGCGUGGGGAGCAAACAGGAUUAGAUACCCUGGUAGUCCACGCUGUANACGAUGGAUGCUGGAUGUCGGGGAGUAAUCCCCGGUGUCGUAGCCAACGCGAUAAGCAUCCCGCCUGGGGAGUACGGUCGCAAGGCUGAAACU
RNAcentral lists this ribosomal RNA (786 nucleotides) under uncultured bacterium. Its description in RNAcentral is "bacterial SSU rRNA". It matches the Rfam family "Bacterial small subunit ribosomal RNA", at positions 130 to 901 of the family's 1533-position model. The record is from RNAcentral.